This 460-nucleotide ribosomal RNA is filed under the name uncultured bacterium. Its description in RNAcentral is "partial 16S ribosomal RNA". It matches the Rfam family "Bacterial small subunit ribosomal RNA", at positions 338 to 795 of the family's 1533-position model. The record is from RNAcentral.
CCUACGGGAGGCUGCAGUGAGGAAUAUUGGUCAAUGGACGAGAGUCUGAACCAGCCAAGUCGCGUGUAGGAUGACUGCCCUAUGGGUUGUAAACUUCUUUUAUAAAGGAAUAAAACGAGGCACGUGUGCCUUUUUGCAUGUACUUUAUGAAUACGGAUCGGCUAACUCCGUGCCAGCAGCCGCGGUAAAACGGAGGGUCCGAGCGUUAUCCGGAUUUAUUGGGUUUAAAGGGAGCGUAGAUGGGUUGUUAAGUCAGUUGGGAAAGUUUGCGGCUCAACCGUAAAAUUGCAAUUGAUACUGGCAGUCUUGAGUGCAGUUGAGGUAGGCGGAAUUCGUGGUGUAGCGGUGAAAUGCUUAGAUAUCACGAAGAACCCCGAUUGCGAAGGCAGCUUACUAAGCUGUGACUGACAUUGAUGCUCGAAAGUGUGGGGAUCAAACAGGAUUAGAUACCCUAGUAGUC